UACGGAGGAUGCAAGCGUUAUCCGGAUUCAUUGGGUUUAAAGGGUGCGCAGGCGGAUUGGUAAGUCAGUGGUGAAAUUCUAGUGCUUAACAUUAGAGCUGCCAUUGAUACUGUCAGUCUAGAGUAUAGUUGGAGUGGGCGGAAUGUGUCAUGUAGCGGUGAAAUGCUUAGAUAUGACACAGAACACCGAUCGCGAAGGCAGCUCACUAAGCUAAAACUGACGCUCAUGCACGAAAGCGUGGGGAUCAAACAGG
RNAcentral lists this ribosomal RNA (253 nucleotides) under uncultured bacterium. RNAcentral describes it as "partial 16S ribosomal RNA". It matches the Rfam family "Bacterial small subunit ribosomal RNA", at positions 524 to 776 of the family's 1533-position model. The record is from RNAcentral.